This 871-nucleotide ribosomal RNA is filed under the name uncultured bacterium. RNAcentral's name for it is "bacterial SSU rRNA". It matches the Rfam family "Bacterial small subunit ribosomal RNA", at positions 33 to 878 of the family's 1533-position model. The record is from RNAcentral.
ACGCUGGCGGUAGGCUUAACACAUGCAAGUCGGACGGAAACGACAAGAACAAUCACUUCGGUGUGCGUUCUUGGGCGUCGAGUGGCGGACGGGUGAGUAAUGCCUGGGAAUCUACCCUAAUGUUGGGGACAACAUAUGGAAACGUAUGCUAAUACCGAAUAUGAUCUACGGAUUAAAGGUGCCCUCUCCUUGGAAGGUAUCGCAUUAGGAUGAGCCCAGGUGAGAUUAGCUAGUUGGUGAGGUAAUGGCUCACCAAGGCAACGAUCUCUAGCUGGUUUGAGAGGAUGAUCAGCCACACUGGGACUGAGACACGGCCCAGACUCCUACGGGAGGCAGCAGUGGGGAAUAUUGCACAAUGAGCGAAAGCUUGAUGCAGCCAUACCGCGUGUGUGAAGAAGGCCCGAGGGUUGUAAAGCACUUUCAAUUGUGAGGAAGGUAGUGUAGUUAAUACCUGCAUUGCUUGACGUUAACUUUAGAAGAAGCACCGGCUAACUCUGUGCCAGCAGCCGCGGUAAUACAGAGGGUGCAAGCGUUAUUCGGAAUUACUGGGCGUAAAGCGCGCGUAGGCGGAAUAUUAAGUCAGUUGUGAAAGCCCUGGGCUCAACCUGGGAACUGCUUCUGAUACUGGUAUUCUAGAGUUUAGUAGAGGGAAGGGGAAUUCCUAGUGUAGCAGUGAAAUGCGUAGAUAUUAGGAGGAACAUCAGUGGCGAAGGCGCCUUCCUGGACUAAAACUGACGCUGAGGUGCGAAAGCGUGGGUAGCGAACGGGAUUAGAUACCCCGGUAGUCCACGCCGUAAACGAUGUCAACUAGUUGUUGGCCUUAUUAAAAAGGUUAGUAACGAAGCUAACGCGAUAAGUUGACCGCCUGGGG